This 446-nucleotide ribosomal RNA is filed under the name uncultured bacterium. RNAcentral describes it as "partial 16S ribosomal RNA". It matches the Rfam family "Bacterial small subunit ribosomal RNA", at positions 338 to 795 of the family's 1533-position model. The record is from RNAcentral.
CCUACGGGGCGCAGCAGUCGAGAAUCAUUCACAAUGGGGGAAACCCUGAUGGUGCGACGCCGCGUGGGGGAAUGUAGGUCUUCGGAUUGUAAACCCCUGUCAUGUGGGAGCAAAUUAAAAAGAUAGUACCACAAGAGGAAGAGACGACUAACUCUGUGCCAGCAGCCGCGGUAAUACAGAGGUCUCAAGAGUUGUUCGGAAUCACUGGGCGUAAGGCGUGCGUAGGCUGUUUCGUAAGUCGUGUGUGAAAGGCGCGGGCUCAACCCGCGGACGGCACAUGAUACUGCGAGACUAGAGUAAUGGAGGGGGAACCGGAAUUCUCGGUGUAGCAGUGAAAUGCGUAGAUAUCGAGAGGAACACUCGUGGCGAAGGCGGGUUCCUGGACAUUAACUGACGCUGAGGCACGAAGGCCAGGGGAGCGAAAGGGAUUAGAUACCCGUGUAGUC